RNAcentral lists this ribosomal RNA (616 nucleotides) under uncultured bacterium. Its description in RNAcentral is "bacterial SSU rRNA". It matches the Rfam family "Bacterial small subunit ribosomal RNA", at positions 8 to 606 of the family's 1533-position model. The record is from RNAcentral.
AGAGUUUGAUCAUGGCUCAGGAUGAACGCUGGCGGCGUGCCUAAUACAUGCAAGUCGAACGCGCAGCGAGAGGUGCUUGCACCUUUCAAGCGAGUGGCGAACGGGUGAGUAACACGUGGAUAACCUGCCUCAAGGCUGGGGAUAACAUUUGGAAACAGAUGCUAAUACCGAAUAAAACUUAGUAUCGCAUGAUAUAAAGUUAAAAGGCGCUACGGCGUCACCUAGAGAUGGAUCCGCGGUGCAUUAGUUAGUUGGUGGGGUAAAGGCUUACCAAGACAAUGAUGCAUAGCCGAGUUGAGAGACUGAUCGGCCACAUUGGGACUGAGACACGGCCCAAACUCCUACGGGAGGCUGCAGUAGGGAAUCUUCCACAAUGGGCGCAAGCCUGAUGGAGCAACGCCGCGUGUGUGAUGAAGGCUUUCGGGUCGUAAAGCACUGUUGUAUGGGAAGAAAUGCUAAAAUAGGGAAUGAUUUUAGUUUGACGGUACCAUACCAGAAAGGGACGGCUAAAUACGUGCCAGCAGCCGCGGUAAUACGUAUGUCCCGAGCGUUAUCCGGAUUUAUUGGGCGUAAAGCGAGCGCAGACGGUUGAUUAAGUCUGAUGUGAAAGCCCGGA